This 495-nucleotide ribosomal RNA is filed under the name uncultured bacterium. RNAcentral's name for it is "partial 16S ribosomal RNA". It matches the Rfam family "Bacterial small subunit ribosomal RNA", at positions 28 to 507 of the family's 1533-position model. The record is from RNAcentral.
GACGAACGCUGGCGGCGUGCCUAAUACAUGCAAGUAGAACGCUGAAGGAGGAGCUUGCUCUUCUGGAUGAGUUGCGAACGGGUGAGUAACGCGUAGGUAACCUGCCUGGUAGCGGGGGAUAACUAUUGGAAACGAUAGCUAAUACCGCAUAACAGUAGAUGUUGCAUGACAUUUGCUUAAAAGGUGCAAUUGCACCACUACCAGAUGGACCUGCGUUGUAUUAGCUAGUUGGUGGGGUAACGGCUCACCAAGGCGACGAUACAUAGCCGACCUGAGAGGGUGAUCGGCCACACUGGGAGUGAGACACGGCCCAGACGCCUACGGGAGGCAGCAGUAGGGAAUCUUCAGCAAUGGACGGAAGUCUGACCGAGCAACGCCGCGUGAGUGAAGAAGGGUUUCGGAUCGUAAAGCUCUGUUGUAAGAGAAGAAAGAGUGUGAGAGUGGAAAGUUCACACUGUGACGGUAUCUAACCAGAAAGAGACGGCUAACUACGUG